UCCUUUAAGUCAGUCCGGGCUUUAUGAUGCUUUUCAAACCAGACAAAUGCCUCACGGGUGGCUGUAAGGAUCCACUUGGUGUUGCAGCAAGUGGAGCUGACUUGAGGAGUGUCCAGCACGUCUUUGCCCACCUUUUGAAAAAA
Molecule: long non-coding RNA, 143 nt
Organism: Xenopus tropicalis (tropical clawed frog)
Lineage: Eukaryota; Metazoa; Chordata; Amphibia; Anura; Pipidae
Exons: 2
Source: RefSeq, a predicted model, not a curated record